This 244-nucleotide ribosomal RNA is filed under the name uncultured bacterium. RNAcentral describes it as "partial 16S ribosomal RNA". It matches the Rfam family "Bacterial small subunit ribosomal RNA", at positions 89 to 334 of the family's 1533-position model. The record is from RNAcentral.
UGGCGACCGGCGCACGGGUGAGCAACACGUAUCCAACCUGCCGAUGACUCGGGGAUAGCCUUUCGAAAGAAAGAUUAAUACCCGAUGGCAUAGUUCUUCCGCAUGGUGGAACUAUUAAAGAAUUUCGGUCAUCGAUGGGGAUGCGUUCCAUUAGGUUGUUGGCGGGGUAACGGCCCACCAAGCCUUCGAUGGAUAGGGGUUCUGAGAGGAAGGUCCCCCACAUUGGAACUGAGACACGGUCCAA